GCCCGGAUGGCGGAAUCGGUAGACGCGUUGGUCUCAAACACCAAUGGGGUAACUCCCGUGCCGGUUCGAGACCGGCUCCGGGUACCA
This 87-nucleotide transfer RNA is filed under the name Muribaculaceae bacterium. RNAcentral's name for it is "tRNA-Leu". It matches the Rfam family "tRNA". Rfam says of the family: Transfer RNA (tRNA) molecules are approximately 80 nucleotides in length. Their secondary structure includes four short double-helical elements and three loops (D, anti-codon, and T loops). The record is from RNAcentral. Lineage: Bacteria; Pseudomonadati; Bacteroidota; Bacteroidia; Bacteroidales; Muribaculaceae.